Apis mellifera (honey bee) is the source of this 114-nucleotide non-coding RNA. The record is from RefSeq and is marked provisional. Lineage: Eukaryota; Metazoa; Arthropoda; Insecta; Hymenoptera; Apidae.
AACUCCGUCGAGAGUAUAACUGCGGCAUCGUAACUGACAAAACUUUCCGUAGCUGCAUUUAUAUGCGUGCCCGGCCGUUGCACGUAAAGUGAUUCCGCUGUUACUCGUUAGAGA